GGCGCCUUGCAUAGUAAAGUUCCUAACUUUGGGCGAUGAUAUUGCAUAAAAAUUUUGGUAGAAAAUUUUUAAGACAAUUUUGAGGGGUAGCAUAGAUCUCGCUACGUUAUUAGCCCGGAACAAUCACAUAUCGCUCUCUUAGCCAGUUGCCCAGUUGAUAGAUCUCAGAAAUGGACUUGGCAGAUGACUGAAGUACAAGGAAGUUGAUCGGCAGGAACUUGGUCCGCCGACCUGGUGAGGAUCACGAGAAACAGCGGCUCGUUUAACCGCCUCUGGGGAUCCUGGGUUGGUGGCGCGUGUUGGCUCCGGCCCCCGGAUAGUCGUUCCUCUCCAAGUCCAUUCGCCGAGCUUCCUCUUCCUCCUGCGGCAAACGUCGUCGGAUCACAGCAUCCCCACACUCUUAUCUUAAACCGUGCUCUGAUAAAAGUAUUCCGCAUAGUUUUCGGCGUCUAAUCUCAUCAUGGAACUCCCCAAAAGUUCGGAUCGCAGUCAUCCACGACUGUUGAUCACAAAUAGAGAGAGAGAGAGAGAGAGAGAG
RNAcentral lists this long non-coding RNA (538 nucleotides) under Spirodela polyrhiza (greater duckweed). Its description in RNAcentral is "long non-coding RNA (SPOL_LNC001484)". Lineage: Eukaryota; Viridiplantae; Streptophyta; Magnoliopsida; Alismatales; Araceae. The record is from RNAcentral.